AUUUUUCCGACCACAACCCAUAGAGGUGGAAUCGCCGACCGACGUCACGCGAUCUUUGAUGGAGAAGCUGAAGCCCGAUAACCAUGGGUACCGUCUAGAUUCUGGGAUUCCGUUCCUUCUCAAAUAAGCAUGUACUCUCACUCUCACUCAUUUUCUUUAUCUCACUUCCACUGUCUCCGUAAGAAUCCUCCCUCCCCUUUUCUUCUCUCUAUAUGUGCGUUGUAUUAUAAUUUUGUGAGAGAAUGGGAAUUUUCUUUUUGGAGUAGUUAAAGAAUUCAUGAAAUAUGAUUGCUGAAGUAAUGUGGGACUUCGUGCCGUGUUUAGCUUUUUGUGCGCCAUUGAUUUUACUAUGUGAAAGGAUUACAGUACCAUAAGAUAUUUUGUUAGUCGUAAUUGUAGUCUGAUUUUUGUAAAUGGUUAGUUGAUUGAUACGCUUGUGCCCUAGAAACAAUAUUAUUAUUAUUAUUAUUUUGGAUAAAUUCGUUUGUAUUUGAGCAUUCACAUACAAUCCCUUGAAGUUGAUUGCAGAGUACACCUCUUGCUAUCAAGCUCUAGCAAUUGGAUCUAGAUCAUAGGCGCAUAUAUGAGUCUUCUCACCUAACUUAUCCAUUUAAUUGGGCAGUGGGAGCUGGGUUUCCCUUAUUCAUUAAAUCUCAGUAAUAUAUCUCCUUCAUUUUGAAAAAUAAAGUAAAAUAAAGCUUACAAUGUGUUGAAGUAUUAAAUUAGAACCAAAACGUGAAUGAAGCAAUCUACAUGAUGAUUAGUGGGAGAUGAAUGAUCAGCAACAAUUAUUUCCCAAGUCUUAUUUUCUGAGGUAUUGUUUUCAUCAUAAACAACAUUUCCAUAUCAAAGUACAAUUUCCAACAGAUAUGAUGUUUACAUGUUGAUCACCUAUACAACGUGACUAAAUGCUGUGCAGCAAAUAUAAGAUCUUGGUAAAAUGCAUUAAAAUAAUGCUCCAAAAUUUCUCCUCCUUGCAUAUGCGGCCGUAAAAUUUUCCUCUCUUCUCAUGAUUCAUCUAGUUUUCUAAUCUUUCUGUCUUCUUUUACCGCACAGUUAUUUUACCUUUGUCUUGUCUUUUAUUGAAUAGAUCCCAUGUGCAAUCUUUAUAGUUUUCUACAGAAAAUUUUUGCUAAUAUUUCUCAUCAAUCUCUUUCCGAUGGCUGCAGGAGUCCUGUUUGAUGAGGUUGGUGAUGAAUGUGAUAGAACAGCAAUUCAGUUUACAUAUCAAAGACGCCAGAAGGAAGCUAGGGCAGAAAAGGAACUGCAGGAAGAGUGAAGCCACGUGCAUAAUAACAGAAAUUGUUAUGGAACAGUCCAGAAGCACAACAACAUAUAAAGAGGGGAAAAUUGAAUUCAGAGGCAGGCAGAACUUGGUAUUCACUAGGAGAGUGGCGGACCUCUCGAAUGUCCAUAUCUAUAUCCUUGUUAGUUUCUUUCUUUUAUCUGUUCUUUUGCAUCCAGAUCUGUUUCUUCUUAUAGCAGAUCCGUUAUUAUUGUAAUUCCAGUUCAUCAAUGAAAUGAUAUGCUGUGUUCCAGCUCUCAAUUAUUUUAAAAGUGUGUUGGAUAAAUCGACAUUAUUCCAGGUUUCUAUCAGAAUGCUCUACAGGGUGUAGAAUCUGAUUUAAUAACUAUUGAGAAAUCUCUGCGGUACUUUGUUACAUUUUCAGUAUAUGGAACUUCUCAUCAAAUUCCAAUUUUUUUUCGAAAAUACUGAUUUUAUUUUAUAUUCUUUUCUAAGCAUGAUUUAGACAGUAUGGAAAAUUUUCCAAUACUUUCUGCUUUCCAUGUGAACUUUUACAUGCAUUUACAUAUGUAAGCUUAACAUUUCUAUUUCUGAUCACGUGCCUUAUUUCCUUGCAGGCAUAAACUUAACCAUUUUGUAUCUAUGUUACUGCAUUGUGUACAAUCAAAAUUUUCCCAAGUAUCAUGGUGCAGAUCUCUGCGCUCCCUUAAGCAUGAGGUUUGGAUUCUGUAAUUGAUUAUACUCUGGUACCGUCAUUCCUUAUGUCUAUUGAAAGUUCAAUCAUAAAUUAACUUGAUUGUUUAUCUACACCCUAUAUCAGUGAAUCGAGUUUCAUUGAAAAUGUACAUAGGGAAAGAAGGGAUGAAAGAGGGGAUGCUUGCUUUAUGUUUUGCACUUAAUUAACAGUGUUAAUGAUGGAAAUCAUGUUAAGUUAUUCUAAUUUAUAUGCCUUGUUAUGGUGGCAUUAAAAAGUUCACGUUGCAAAGAAGUCUUUGGAAUAGCUUUCUCACAAUUGAUAUGGUGAUUCACGAAUAUGAUCCCUACCAUCUACAAACAAUUUGGAUAAAUCUCACUGAAAUCUAAGAAAUAUUAACUAAUCAGGAAAAAUUUAUUAAGAGUUUGAACCUUGAUUCGUUUCUACAUCAGCCCUCAAUUUGAGGCCAAAACGAGUAUAAUAAAUUUUGGGAAACACCUUAAUCCAACCUAGCUAAUAAUGUGGUAUGAAAUACCAGAGUUGUGGGAAAUCAUUUUUAUAUUGAGAGUAAUAUAGGGAUUUAAGAGCGAAUCGUCUGAAUUCAGCAUAUAUUACUGUCAAAUUUCAGCUUUUAUUUAUUCUUAAUUGUCAGAUAACAAUUCUAUUUUUUUCCUUCUCUUUUCUUUAUUUUUUUGAGACAAUAUGAUUAUUUUAGAGACACCCCUUACUUUUAAAAAAUUACACUAACCUCUCAUAUCUAUUUUUGAAUAUUACAUACACCGUGACUGCUUUUUGAAUCACAUAUCAUCUAAAAUGAGGUUGAUAUACCUAAAAUUCUCGUGUAUAAAAGAUGAAAAUUUCUAUAAUUAGUUGCAAUUUUAUAGAUUUCCUUUAGUAAUAAAUUAAUACUUCAAGAUUUUGUGCAUGCACAAUUCUGAAUAUUCAAGCUAGUGGA
Molecule: long non-coding RNA, 2895 nt
Filed under: Olea europaea subsp. europaea
Lineage: Eukaryota; Viridiplantae; Streptophyta; Magnoliopsida; Lamiales; Oleaceae
Source: RNAcentral